Molecule: ribosomal RNA, 254 nt
Filed under: uncultured bacterium
Lineage: Bacteria
Description: partial 16S ribosomal RNA
Rfam family: Bacterial small subunit ribosomal RNA
Source: RNAcentral
UACGGGGGGAGCAAGCGUUGUUCGGAUUUACUGGGCGUAAAGGGCGCGUAGGCGGUCGUGACAAGUCACUUGUGAAUCUCCGGGCUUAACUCGGAACGGUCAAGUGAUACUGUCGGACUAGAGUACAGAAGGGGCAACUGGAAUUCUCGGUGUAGCGGUGAAAUGCGUAGAUAUCGAGAGGAACACCUGCGGCGAAGGCGGGUUGCUGGGCUGAUACUGACGCUGAGGCGCGGAAAGCCAGGGGAGCGAACGGG